This 575-nucleotide long non-coding RNA is filed under the name Sinocyclocheilus grahami. RNAcentral's name for it is "lncRNA (ENSSGRG00000039724.1)". The record is from RNAcentral. Lineage: Eukaryota; Metazoa; Chordata; Actinopteri; Cypriniformes; Cyprinidae.
UGUCAGAGUGAACGGUUCUGUGUGUGUUGUUUGAAGGUCAGUGAUGGCAGCUUAUGUGCAGUCACUGGGAUGCCGGACGAUGAGCUGGCGGUCAGUUGCAGCGACUGCUCUGUCUGUAUCUGGAAGCUGGAGCGGGACUCCAAGAAGUGCAUUAUGGGGCUCGAUAAGGUGUCUUCAUACAAAGUGGAGUCUCCUUUGAGCUUUUUGUUUUACUGUGGCAGUCUGUUUGGAGUGUAUAUGGGUGGAACAGUCACUGAUGUGCUCUCUAGUAAAGCAGCUUAUAACUGGUUAAGAAGGGUAUGUCCUCUCGGCGUGAUGGCGAAUGACAGCAAGAGCUUUUGGCUGUUGGGCCAGAAACAGGGCGUUCUGUACGUUGGCCUCGUUUUGUCUCUGAAUCCGAGUGUGUCAGACUUCUUCUUAGCCUUUUGUGAUGAUGCGAUAAGUAAAAAGCCAAAGGACUUAGAGAUAGAGGAGGAAAUAGAUGAGCAGCAGGAGGAGGAGCAGCAGCAGGAGAAGCUGAGUGAGGAACAGCGGAGAGAGAGGCAAACUGCAAUCCAGAGGGCGGCACAGGUCAG